RNAcentral lists this ribosomal RNA (507 nucleotides) under uncultured bacterium. RNAcentral's name for it is "bacterial SSU rRNA". It matches the Rfam family "Bacterial small subunit ribosomal RNA", at positions 791 to 1302 of the family's 1533-position model. The record is from RNAcentral.
UAGUCCACGCCGUAAACGAUGAUUACUCGCUGUAGGCGAUACACAGUCUGUGGCUAAGCGAAAGUUUUAAGUAAUCCACCUGGGGAGUACGAUCGCAAGAUUGAAACUCAAAGGAAUUGACGGGGGCCCGCACAAGCGGAGGAACAUGUGGUUUAAUUCGAUGAUACGCGAGGAACCUUACCUGGACUUAAAUGUGCGUUGCAUAGAUCAGAGAUGGUCUUUUCUUCGGACUACGUACAAGGUGCUGCAUGGUUGUCGUCAGCUCGUGCCGUGAGGUGUCGGGUUAAGUCCCGCAACGAGCGCAACCCCUAUCCCUAGUUGCCAGCAUUUAGUUGGGGACUCUAGGGAAACUGCCUGCGCAAGCAGAGAGGAAGGCGGGGAUGACGUCAAAUCAUCAUGGGCCUUUAUGUCCAGGGGCUACACACGUGCUACAAUGGACGAUACAAAGGGUAGCGACACUGCGAAGUGAAGCCAAUCCCAAAAAAGUCGUUCUCAGUUCGGAUUGGA